Molecule: ribosomal RNA, 253 nt
Filed under: uncultured bacterium
Lineage: Bacteria
Description: partial 16S ribosomal RNA
Rfam family: Bacterial small subunit ribosomal RNA
Source: RNAcentral
UACGGAGGAUGCAAGCGUUAUCCGGAAUUAUUGGGCGUAAAGGGUCCGCAGGUGGCAAUGUAAGUCUGCUGUCAAAGAAUGAGGCUUAACCUCAUCAAGGCAGUGGAAACUACAUAGCUAGAGUACGGUCGGGGUAGAAGGAAUUCCUGGUGUAGCGGUGAAAUGCGCAGAUAUCAGGAAGAACACCAAUGGCGAAAGCAGCUCUCUGGGACGGUACUGACGCUGAGACGCGAAAGCGUGGGGAGCGAACAGG